Molecule: ribosomal RNA, 700 nt
Filed under: Fictibacillus sp. US-10
Lineage: Bacteria; Bacillati; Bacillota; Bacilli; Caryophanales; Fictibacillaceae
Description: bacterial SSU rRNA
Rfam family: Bacterial small subunit ribosomal RNA
Source: RNAcentral
CAGUCGAGCGAUGACGAGGAGCUUGCUCCUCUGAUUUAGCGGCGGACGGGUGUAGUAACACGUGGGUAACCUGCCUGUAAGACGGGGAUAACUUCGGGAAACCGAAGCUAAUACCGGAUAAUAAAGAGAGACUCCUGUUUCUUUUUUGAAAGUCGGUUUCGGCUGACGCUUACAGAUGGGCCCGCGGCGCAUUAGCUAGUUGGUGAGGUAACGGCUCACCAAGGCCACGAUGCGUAGCCGACCUGAGAGGGUGAUCGGCCACACUGGGACUGAGACACGGCCCAGACUCCUACGGGAGGCAGCAGUAGGGAAUCUUCGGCAAUGGACGAAAGUCUGACCGAGCAACGCCGCGUGAGCGAUGAAGGCCUUCGGGUCGUAAAGCUCUGUUGUCAGAGAAGAACAAGUACCGGAGUAACUGCCGGUACCUUGACGGUACCUGACCAGAAAGCCACGGCUAACUACGUGCCAGCAGCCGCGGUAAUACGUAGGUGGCAAGCGUUCUCCGUAAUUAUUGGGCGUAAAGCGCGCGCAGGCGGUUCCUUAAGUCUGAUGUGAAAGCCCACGGCUCAACCGUGGAGGGUCAUUGGAAACUGGGGAACUUGAGUGCAGGAGAGAAAAGUGGAAUUCCACGUGUAGCGGUGAAAUGCGUAGAGAUGUGGAGGAACACCAGUGGCGAAGGCGGCUUUUUGGCCUGUAACUG